GCUUUAUGCACCAUUGGAUGAGCCUGCACUUGAUUAGUUUGUUGGUGGGGUAAUGGCCUACCAAGACUGUGAUCAAUAGCUGAUUUGAGAGGAUGAUCAGCCACAUUGGGACUGAGACACGGCCCAAACUCCUACGGGAGGCAGCAGUGGGGAAUCUUGCACAAUGGAGGAAACUCUGAUGCAGCGAUGCCGCGUGAGUGAAGUAGGCCUUUGGG
This 215-nucleotide ribosomal RNA is filed under the name uncultured bacterium. RNAcentral describes it as "partial 16S ribosomal RNA". It matches the Rfam family "Bacterial small subunit ribosomal RNA", at positions 208 to 422 of the family's 1533-position model. The record is from RNAcentral.